This 253-nucleotide ribosomal RNA is filed under the name uncultured bacterium. RNAcentral describes it as "partial 16S ribosomal RNA". It matches the Rfam family "Bacterial small subunit ribosomal RNA", at positions 524 to 776 of the family's 1533-position model. The record is from RNAcentral.
UACGUAGGGGGCAAGCGUUGUCCGGAUUUAUUGGGCGUAAGGAGCGUGUAGGCGGCCGUACAGGUCAGCUGUGAAAACUCGAGGCUCAACCUCGAGACGUCGGUUGAAACCGUACGGCUAGAGUCCGGAAGAGGAGAGUGGAAUUCCCGGUGUAGCGGUGAAAUGCGCAGAUAUCGGGAAGAACACCCGUGGCGAAGGCGGCUCUCUGGGACGGUACUGACGCUGAGACGCGAAAGCGUGGGGAGCGAACAGG